Molecule: ribosomal RNA, 253 nt
Filed under: uncultured bacterium
Lineage: Bacteria
Description: partial 16S ribosomal RNA
Rfam family: Bacterial small subunit ribosomal RNA
Source: RNAcentral
UACAGAGGUCCCAAGCGUUGUUCGGAAUUACUGGGCGUAAAGGGUGCGUAGGCGGUGCUCUAAGUCGGAUGUGAAAACUCUGGGCUCAACCCAGAGCCUGCAUCCGAAACUGGAGUGCUAGAGUUCUGGAGGGGGUAGCGGAAUUCCUGGUGUAGCGGUGAAAUGCGUAGAUAUCAGGAGGAACACCGGUGGCGAAGGCGGCUACCUGGACAGAAACUGACGCUGAGGCACGAAAGCUAGGGGAGCAAACAGG